UGUCUGCAGUUUCAGAUUCUUUUCCUUUCACUACACAACUUCUUCCAUAUACUUCCCUCUCUCUCUCUCUCUCUCUCUCUCUCUCAUCCCAUUGUUACCAUUUCUAUGAGCGCGUGUGACCAGUAAACAUGGCAAUCAGUAAAUAAAUAAUUCCACACACUCGCUUUCUCUACUGUUUCAUAUUCUUUUCCUUUCAUUGCAUAACUUCUUCUAUAUACUUCUCUCUUUCUCUCUCUCAUCCCACUGUUACCAUUUCCAUUGGUUGUUUGUUCUCAGCUCAAGAAGGAUUCUUGCCUAAGUCCUCGUUUUUUUAUCGGAAUGGUAGAUUUGAGGUGAAAAGGUUCCAUAUUUGUUAGGCCUUGGAUCUUCUUCAUCAAUGGAGUAUUUUGCAUCUUGAAGAUCAUGGAAGCGGAAUGGAGAAGGAAGAAAGAUUAUUGGAGAUGUCACUUCAAGAAGAAGAUGAGUCAAAAAGAAGUUCACUACCAUAGGAAGCCAUGGAUAAGAGCUUGAAGUUUGUAUCAAUGGAGAUUCUUGAGAACCGAAGGUGGAUGUAUCAGAGGUUGGAUGCUAAUAAACGUUGGCCAAAUGAGUUUAGAGAAGGAGUAUUUGAGUUCGUACAAUUUGUUACUAGUCAGGGCAUGUUUCAAAUGCAAGAUGAACAAACAAGGUGUCCAUGCAAGAAAUGCAAAUGUAAAGUUUUCAAGUUUGUGGAUGAUGUGAUGAGGCAUCUUUAUGAGGAAGGGUUCAUCCCCAAUUACUAUUGGUGGACAAACCAUGAUGAGGAGUUACCGCAAUUUCCUCCAGUAGUGUUGCAAGGUUCAUAUUAUGGAAGUGGUGGGCAAAGGAAAGAAUUGAAUCCUUAUGAGCAAAUGAUCGGAUCAUGCUGGACCAUCAAUUGGGAAAUACAUAGAAAAAGAGGGUGCAAUUGAGACAUAAUGCACAAAGGAAAAUCCUAAUCUUGAAGCUCAAAAGUUCUUUGAUAUGCUUGCAACUGUGCAAGCAAUAUUAUGGGAAGGAUGCGAGCAUCAUUCAAAAUUGCCAUCUUCUUUAGCCUGCCUUAGCUUGAAAUCUGAUUAUAAUAUGUCAAAAGGGUGUUUUAAUUGUAUGGUUCAAUUUAUGGGUGACACCAUGCCAAAAAACAAUACUAUGGUGGGUAAUUUUUUUAUCAAGCUAAGAGGUCGGUGCAAAAAUUUGGUCUUGGUUGUUUGAAAAUUGAUUGUUGCCUAAACGGAUGCAUGUUGUAUUACAAAGAAAAUUCAGAUAAGAAUAUAAAUAAUUGUUUUUAUUUUGUAAAAGUGAUCGGUACUUGACAGUUAAUAGGAGAGGGAUUGAAAAGAAGUUUCUUGUUAAGAAAAUGUGGCACUUUCCACUCAUUCCAAGACAAAAAAGAUUAUACUCUUCAAUGGCCACUGCAUCUCACAUGAGAUGGCAUAGUGAGAAUCAGAGAGACCCGAAUGUCAUGUGUCAUCAAUCUGAUGGUGAAGUGUGGAAGCAUUUUGAUAGAAUGCAUCCAUAAUUUAGUCAGGACCCUAAGAAUGCCAGAUUAGGGUUAUGUUCAGAUGGGUUUAGUCCUUUUCGUCAAUUUGAGAAGACUUACUCUUGUUGGCCGAUCAUCUUAACUCCAUAUAAUCUUCCUCCUGGCAUUUUCAUGAAGAAAGAAUUUUUUUUAACUGCCUUAAUUCCAGGUCCAUCAGAUCCAAGGCACAAGAUUGAUGUGUACUUGCAACCGCUCAUAGAUGACUUGUGCACUUUGUGGAAUGAUGGCAUACCAACUUUUGAUGUGUCAUUGAGGCAAGAUUUUUUUAUGAAGGCUGCUUUGAUGUGGACAAUCAAUGACUUCCCGACUUAUGGGAUGUUAUCAGGUUGGAACGAUUGAAGGCAUUCACAAAUUUAAAUUUUCACAAGGUAUGCUAUUUUGAUUGUCAUAGCCAAUUUCUUCCACUUAAUCAUGCAUAUAGGAUGAAUAAAAAAUCAUUCAAGAAGGGUCAGGUUGAGACCUCACCCCUUCCUCCAUGUUUGUCUAGUCUUGACGUUUAGAAUAAAUUUCCACAUUUACCGCUUUGUCUUGAGUCGCAAGUAGAAAAAGAUUUUCCUGGUUAUGGUGUUGAACAUAAUUGGAAGAAGCAAAAUAUAUUUUGGUUGUUACUGUAUUGGAAAACAUAACUUCUGCAUCAUAACAUUGAUGUCAUGCACAUAGAGAGAAAUGUGUUUAUGAAUGUCUUUAACAUUGUGAUGGACAUCAAUAGAAAAAGCAAGGAUACACACAAUGCUUGAAUAGAUUUAGCAAAAAUAUGUAAAAAAAAAAAGAGCUUGAGUUGGUAGAUGUCGGUCAUGACAAGUUCUUUAAACCAAUGACCAAAUCCUAGAGACUGACUAAUCUUAAAUGGGUCAAAGAACUAAAGUUAUCAGAUGGCUAUGCCUCCAAUUUAGGUCGAUGUAUGGUUCUUAACGAGGAAAAAAUUAAUGGAAUGAAAAGUCAUGACUAUUAUGUUUUCAUGCAACGGUUGCUUCCAAUUGCAUUUGACUAAUUACCAAAACCUAUUUGGAAGCCACUUGUUGAACUUAGACAAUUUUUUAGAGAACUAACUUCGACAACAUUAAAUGUUGAACAACUAAGAGUUAUGGAAAAUAACGUACCUGUGUUGAUGUAUAAGUUAGAACAGAUAUUCCCAGCAAGCUUCUUUGAUUCAAUGGAGCAUCUUCGAGUUCGUUUACCUUAUGAGACAAGACUUGGUGGUCCGGUCCAAUAUCAUUGGAUGUAUCCUUUUGAGAGGUUUUUACACUCCCUAAAAAAUAAAGUCAAGAAUAAGGUUAGAGUCGAGGGAUUGAUUUGUGAAGCGUACUUAGUGGAGGAGACAUCUACCUUUGCCUCGUCUUACUAUCCUAAUUAAAUUGCAACAAGAAGGACUAGGAUGCCUCAGAAUGUUGAUGCAGAUGAAAGUUUUCAUCUUCUCCUCCUAUAUCAAUUUUCAAUUACCCAGGAAGAGCGAGCGGUAAAUCCAAAACAUAUAUUUUGGACCAAGUUGAUCUUCAUGUUGCUCACUUGUACAUUCUUCAAAAUUGUCUAGAGGUUGAGCCAUAUUUAGAGUAAGAUGAUUUUAAUACUUGUAUGACUCUAAUUAAUAAUUUAAUGAUGUUUUGUUGUGUACUUUGA
Molecule: RNA transcript, 3154 nt
Organism: Glycine soja
Lineage: Eukaryota; Viridiplantae; Streptophyta; Magnoliopsida; Fabales; Fabaceae
Exons: 5
Source: RefSeq, a predicted model, not a curated record